Strongylocentrotus purpuratus (purple sea urchin) is the source of this 839-nucleotide long non-coding RNA. RefSeq lists it as uncharacterized. The transcript has 2 exons. NCBI's taxonomy places the organism in Eukaryota, Metazoa, Echinodermata, Echinoidea, Camarodonta, Strongylocentrotidae. The record is from RefSeq and is a predicted model, not a curated record.
GUGUGUUACCUCUGGAGCAAACGUGUCGUGCAAUCAAAGCAAUACAAGGUAAUACUUCUCAUAUUGGGUGUCCUAACUGAGCACUGAACACUACAUGUACUGUUGUUGACCAACAUUAUUGCACAACCUUCGCUUCUUCGGACACCAGUCGAAGCGGUCAAACCAGAAUAUAGUUCGGACGUCUGACCGGUCGGUGUAAAGCAAGCUUCUGGAAUAGGAGAGCUUUUGGAUUUCGAUUGAAAGCUAGCUGUGUAGAUCGAGAAUAUAACUUUGAAGGAAUUAUGAAGCGAGGGGCGUGUUUGAUUCUUCUAUUUACCUUGCUCUUGUUGGGCUUCAGUGACGGGGCCCCAUACCAGGCACGGGAUGGAGAGCUGUCUCACCGUAAUCAGCAAGGAUAUGCCAAAAAGACGGAAAUGAAGUUGUCACCACUUCUUCUCAAGAUGAAGCAAGAAGCUGAUACUAUUCUUGGCCAGCGGUCCAAAAGAUCACCUUCCAGAGAGAUGGUUAGAAAAUAAAAAUAACGUUUUUAUUUCUUUCUCAAUACUCCUGUGUCAUCAUCUGCAGCAAGCACUCAUCUCUUUCAACGCAACGUGGAACAUAAUCAUGGGGAUAUCGUUCAGAAUCAGAGGCGGAAUGGUAAUAAAUUGAAAUUUGGUUUGGGAAUUUUUAUAUGACCGACCCACUCAAACUAUAAGAUUUUGAUUAACCGGUCCUCAAAUAGGAUCAGGGGAGACUGGUUAUUAAUUUAAAUUUUGUUGGGGAUUUAAACGCGACAGACCCACUAAAACUUAAAGGAUGUGAUCAACCGGCCCUCAGACCACAAACGGACAAGCCCACAA